GAUAAACGCUGGCGGCGCACAUAAGACAUGCAAGUCGAACGGAAGUCGUUAUAUGGAUUUUGAAAUGAACGGAGAACUUGUUCAAAGGGACUUGAUGGAGAAAUAUAACAAUGGCUUUAGUGGCGGACUGGUGAGUAAUACGUAAGCAACCUGCCUGUUAGAGGGGAACAACAGUUAGAAAUGACUGCUAAUACCGCAUAUGCCAUAAGUAUCGCAUGAUACAAGUGGGAAAGGAGUAAUCCGCUAACAGAUGGGCUUACGGCUGAUUAGCUAGUUGGUGUGGUAACGGCAUACCAAGGCGACGAUCAGUAGCCGGACUGAGAGGUUCAACGGCCACAUUGGGACUGAGAUACGGCCCAGACUCC
This 365-nucleotide ribosomal RNA is filed under the name uncultured Oscillospiraceae bacterium. Its description in RNAcentral is "bacterial SSU rRNA". It matches the Rfam family "Bacterial small subunit ribosomal RNA", at positions 28 to 339 of the family's 1533-position model. The record is from RNAcentral. Lineage: Bacteria; Bacillati; Bacillota; Clostridia; Eubacteriales; Oscillospiraceae.